This 448-nucleotide ribosomal RNA is filed under the name uncultured bacterium. RNAcentral's name for it is "bacterial SSU rRNA". It matches the Rfam family "Bacterial small subunit ribosomal RNA", at positions 355 to 825 of the family's 1533-position model. The record is from RNAcentral.
UGGGGAAUAUUGGACAAUGGGCGCAAGCCUGAUCCAGCCAUGCCGCGUGAGUGACGAAGGUCUUCGGAUUGUAAAGCUCUUUUUGGCGGGGACGAUAAUGACGGUACCCGCAGAAUAAGCCCCGGCUAACUUCGUGCCAGCAGCCGCGGUAAUACGAAGGGGGCUAGCGUUGUUCGGAAUCACUGGGCGUAAAGCGCACGUAGGCGGAUUUGUUAGUCGGGGGUGAAAUCCCGGGGCUCAACCUCGGAACUGCCUCUGAUACUGCAAAUCUCGAGUCCGAUAGAGGUGAGUGGAAUUCCUAGUGUAGAGGUGAAAUUCGUAGAUAUUAGGAAGAACACCAGUGGCGAAGGCGGCUCACUGGAUCGGUACUGACGCUGAGGUGCGAAAGCGUGGGGAGCAAACAGGAUUAGAUACCCACGUAGUCCCUGAGCGGGCUGGCAAGGCGCAU